GUUCUGAAGAACCCCAUAUACAUGGUGUGAACCUUACACGUGAAGGUUCAUGUUUUUUAUCCCUUGGUUUUUUCUCUUACUCGUUAUGCAUCAGGGCAUCACCAGUCGGUCGUCGCUGUCUCUCGCUGGUUCUCCAUCCCAUCCAGAUCCCACCGCCCGCAGCCCUUCCCCUACUCAACGAGGCAUCUCUCCCUCCUUUUCCCGGCGAGCCGCACCGCCCCCAUCCCCAUCUCGGUGCUCCUCAUUCCUUUAUCAUGCUACCCAACGGGCUCCCUCCCUCUUCUGCUACACGAAUACCGGCGAGAUCCGAGAGACGGGGCACUGUAGAUAUCGUCAUCAACCUCUGUGCCUUGUGCGGAACGUCCCUUCCCACCUCGUGCUCCUCCAACCGUCCCUUUCUCGAGCUUAUUGUUGCCGUCGUAGUGCAGCUGCAUCUGAUGUCCACACCAUGUAUAUGGGGUUCUUCAGAACCAUAUACAUGGUGUGAACCUUUCUCUGUUCCAUCUCCCUAUCUUUCUCCCAAAAAACAAUAAUGUGCAGCUGCAUCUGAUGUCCGAGAUCACUGAGGUCCGAGGGGGAGGGGCCGUUCCGUGCUUGCGCCCCGGUACACAGCUCAGUGCGUGGGGAAGCCCCUGUUUUCUGGGUCGGAGCUGUUGGAUGAGAACGCAGCUGUAUUUUUUCUUCUUAUGCAGCUCGACUGAUGUCUCAUAUGGCAGAUGUGUUUUUCAUUUGUACAGAAGCCCCGUGGAGCAUGGAAGGCAAGCUGGAGAUGCAUAUCUCCCUCGACCUUACGCGGAGGGCAGCAACUAGAGGUUCAAACCACUCAAAACAUGUGAGAUUUGAGCGUAAUAAUGGGAUUCACCAGCGUCACAGCAGCACUGGCAUGGAUGAUGCCAGCUGUUGUGGCAACCAGCCCAGGAGUGAGCUCGCGCUGCAUGCACGCCAGUGGCCAGCACGACUACUACCUCAUCUCCCUCCUGCAUGAGGGGACAGCUUAUUAUUCACGACUCCGCUCCUCUCUUUCCCUUCCCUCUCUCUUUUUUUUGGUGACUUUGCAUCAGUAGUGCAUGGAUUGGAUGUGGUCUAGUAUUAAUGGUUUUAGUGUGCAGGAACAGUUCAACUUGAACUUGGAUUUGAUCUUAGUGAUUUUGGGCCUGUUGUGCAAUAAGUAUCAUGGAAACUUGCGCACAUGACUAGCGUUCAUUUGUUCUUGUCCUUUUCUAUAUGAAGUAAGCAAAUCAAUUUGUCUCC
This is a long non-coding RNA of Triticum aestivum (bread wheat), 1251 nucleotides long. RefSeq lists it as uncharacterized. The record is from RefSeq and is a predicted model, not a curated record. The transcript has 2 exons. NCBI's taxonomy places the organism in Eukaryota, Viridiplantae, Streptophyta, Magnoliopsida, Poales, Poaceae.